UUGUCUCCUCCAGCGCUCUUUGUUUUGCUCGCUAUGGCCAUCUACACCGGAGUGACGGUCAACUUCCUCGGGAAGCGUUUCGGCGACUGGCGUUUCUCAUGGUCCUACAUUCUGGGCUGGGUCGCUCUGCUCAUGACCUUUUUUGCAGGUAUAUUUUACAUGUGUGCCUACAGGAUGCAUGAAUGCCGCAGAGUGGCCGGCCCUCGCUAAAACGCAAGAGAAUGUUUCGAGAAACUCAAGCAAACACUCAAGUGUCUAAACAUGUAUAUACAGGUGUUGGUAAUCUGAUCCCACUUAAAAAAGUACCAGUGCAAGUUGGCAGAAAGAUAAAAUACGCCACAUUCUGAUUCUGCAGGUUUUCACUCAGGAUUUCUUUAGUCUCUAUCCCAACAGAUGCACAUUUAAGAUUAAAAAUAAAUCACACAAUCCUGAAUAAAACUGAAUCACUGUUCAUGCACAGAGAGACAAAAUCUCAAAUAAAAUAUCAGAUUAUUCUCAUCA
This is a long non-coding RNA of Sinocyclocheilus grahami, 501 nucleotides long. RefSeq lists it as uncharacterized. The record is from RefSeq and is a predicted model, not a curated record. Lineage: Eukaryota; Metazoa; Chordata; Actinopteri; Cypriniformes; Cyprinidae. The transcript has 2 exons.